This 478-nucleotide ribosomal RNA is filed under the name uncultured bacterium. Its description in RNAcentral is "SSU rRNA". It matches the Rfam family "Bacterial small subunit ribosomal RNA", at positions 26 to 518 of the family's 1533-position model. The record is from RNAcentral.
AGGAUGAACGCUGGCGGCGUGCUUAACACAUGCAAGUCGAACGAUGAACCUCACUUGUGGGGGAUUAGUGGCGAACGGGUGAGUAACACGUGAGUAACCUGCCCUUAACUCUGGGAUAAGCCUUGGAAACGGGGUCUAAUACCGGAUAUUUACGAUUGAUCGCAUGGUUGGUUGUGGAAAGAUUUAUUGGUUUUGGAUGGAUUCGCGGCCUAUCAGCUUGUUGGUGAGGUAAUGGCUUACCAAGGCGACGACGGGUAGCCGGCCUGAGAGGGUGACCGGCCACACUGGGACUGAGACACGGCCCAGACUCCUACGGGAGGCAGCAGUGGGGAAUAUUGCACAAUGGGCGCAAGCCUGAUGCAGCGACGCCGCGUGAGGGAUGAAGGCCUUCGGGUUGUAAACCUCUUUCAGCAGGGAAGAAGCGAAAGUGACGGUACCUGCAGAAGAAGCACCGGACUAACUACGUGCCAGCAGCCGC